Molecule: ribosomal RNA, 1408 nt
Filed under: uncultured organism
Description: 16S ribosomal RNA
Rfam family: Bacterial small subunit ribosomal RNA
Source: RNAcentral
GGAUGAACGCUAGCGGCAGGCUUAACACAUGCAAGUCGAGGGGUAACGAUUUUGAGUAAUCAAAAGGCGACGACCGGCGCACGGGUGAGUAUCGCGUUUGUAACCUACCCCUGACUGGAGCAUAGCCCGAAGAAAUUCGGAUUAAUACUCCAUAAUACUGCGAGAAGGCACCUUUUUUCAGUUAAAGCUUCGGCGGUCAGAGAUGGGCAUGCGUAACAUUAGCUGGUUGGUGAGGUAACAGCUCACCAAGGCUACGAUGUUUAGGGGGUCUGAGAGGAUGGUCCCCCACACUGGUACUGAGACACGGACCAGACUCCUACGGGAGGCAGCAGUGAGGAAUAUUGGUCAAUGGGCGAAAGCCUGAACCAGCCAUGCCGCGUGAAGGAUGACGGCCCUAUGGGUUGUAAACUUCUUUUAUACGGGAAGAAACCCCUCUACGUGUAGGGGGCUGACGGUACCGUACGAAUAAGCAUCGGCUAACUCCGUGCCAGCAGCCGCGGUAAUACGGAGGAUGCAAGCGUUAUCCGGAUUUAUUGGGUUUAAAGGGUGCGUAGGCGGAAAAUUAAGUCAGUGGUGAAAUCCUGCAGCUUAACUGUAGAAUUGUCAUUGAUACUGGUUUUCUUGAAUACAGUUGAGGUAGGCGGAAUGAGUAAUGUAGCGGUGAAAUGCUUAGAUAUUACUCAGAACACCAAUUGCGAAGGCAGCUUACUAAACUGUGAUUGACGCUGAGGCACGAAAGCGUGGGGAGCGAACAGGAUUAGAUACCCUGGUAGUCCACGCCGUAAACGAUGAUCACUCGUUGUUGGCAAUACACCGUCAGCGACUGAGCGAAAGUAUUAAGUGAUCCACCUGGGGAGUACGAUUGCAAGAUUGAAACUCAAAGGAAUUGACGGGGGCCCGCACAAGCGGAGGAACAUGUGGUUUAAUUCGAUGAUACGCGAGGAACCUUACCUGGGCUUAAAUGCAUAACGACGGAUCGGGAAACUGGUCUUUCUUCGGACGGAAUGCAAGGUGCUGCAUGGCUGUCGUCAGCUCGUGCCGUGAGGUGUCGGGUUAAGUCCCAUAACGAGCGCAACCCUCAUCAUUAGUUGCCAGCGGGUAAUGCCGGGGACUCUAAUGAACUGCCGGUGUAAACCGAGAGGAAGGCGAGGAUGACGUCAAGUCAGCACGGCCCUUAUGUCCAGGGCUACACACGUGUUACAAUGGUCAGUACAAAGGGCAGCUACCAGGCAACUGGAUGCUAAUCUCAAAAGCUGGUCACAGUUCGGAUCGGAGUCUGCAACUCGACUUCGUGAAGUUGGAUUCGCUAGUAAUCGCGCAUCAGCCAUGGCGCGGUGAAUACGUUCCCGGGCCUUGUACACACCGCCCGUCAAGCCAUGGAAGCCGGGGGUACCUGAAGUUCGUAACC